RNAcentral lists this transfer RNA (72 nucleotides) under Chloroflexota bacterium. Its description in RNAcentral is "Chloroflexi bacterium tRNA-His". It matches the Rfam family "tRNA". From Rfam's summary of the family: Transfer RNA (tRNA) molecules are approximately 80 nucleotides in length. Their secondary structure includes four short double-helical elements and three loops (D, anti-codon, and T loops). Further hydrogen bonds mediate the characteristic L-shaped molecular structure. tRNAs have two regions of fundamental functional importance: the anti-codon, which is responsible for specific mRNA codon recognition, and the 3' end, to which the tRNAs corresponding amino acid is attached (by aminoacyl-tRNA synthetases). tRNAs cope with the degeneracy of the genetic code in two manners: having more than one tRNA (with a specific anti-codon) for a particular amino acid; and 'wobble' base-pairing, i.e. permitting non-standard base-pairing at the 3rd anti-codon position. Lineage: Bacteria; Bacillati; Chloroflexota. The record is from RNAcentral.
GCGAUCAUGGUGGAAGGGUACCACGUCUCACUGUGGAUGAGAAGGCUGCGGGUUCGAAACCCGCUGAUCGCC